This is a long non-coding RNA of Oncorhynchus tshawytscha (Chinook salmon), 1339 nucleotides long. NCBI's taxonomy places the organism in Eukaryota, Metazoa, Chordata, Actinopteri, Salmoniformes, Salmonidae. The record is from Ensembl.
CACCUGUUGUAUUCAUCAUUUCACUGUAAGGUCUACUACACCUGUUGUAUUCAGCAUUUCACUGUAAGGUCUACUACACCUGUUUUAUGCAGCCCACGUGACAAAUAAACUUUAGAUUUGGUUUAAUUUGACUACCUUCUGUAUGAUGAUAGCAUUAACAUCAACGUAUAGUCCAGAGGUACAAUACCUGCCGACUAGUAUCAAAUCAGACAAAUAUUGUGGCAAAAAUACGCACUCACAAGUAAACACACAAAUAAACAAACAAGUUAUACAAUGCCAUUAAUCCUGACAUUUUGAACAUGUGUUUGAACAUAAGUUGGGCUAUUUGUGUUUCAUUCUUUAAGACCCAUACAGCAUCCUGGAGUCACCCUGAUCACAGAGGGAAACAUUACAGACAGAAUACAAUACAUCAGAUUCAAAUAUACUAUUCAUUCAUAUUCAAAAAUAAGAUUUUAUUAAUAGUCAAAUAUACGAUUCAUUCAUAUUCAAAUAUAAGAUUUAUUCAUGGUCUAAUAUACUAUUCAUAUUCAAAUAUACUAUUCAUAUUCAAAUAUAUUAUUAAUUCAUAUUCAAAAAUAAGAUUUAUUCAUAUUCAAAUAUACUAUUCAUUCAUAUUCAAAAAUAAGAUUGAUUCAUAUUCAAAUAUACUAUUCAUUCAUAUUCAAAUAUACGAUUUAUUCAUAUUCAAAUAUACUAUUCAUUCAUUUUCAAAAAUAAUUUGUAUUCAUAUUCAAAUAUACUAUUCAUAUUCAAAUAUACUAUUCAUUCAUAUUCAAAUAUACUAUUCAUUCAUAUUCAAAAAUAUUCAAAUAUACUAUUCAUUUAGAAAGUCUCAUUGUCGAUUUAUGUACCCAUGUAUAAUUAUGAUAAGAAUAAAACUCUCUCUCUCUCAACCCAGGUAUAUUACCACCUGUUCUGUCUCUCUUCAACCCAGGUAUACUACCACCUGUUCUGUCUCUCUCUCUUCAACCCAGGUAUAUUACCACCUGUUCUGUCUCUCUCUCUUCAACCCAGGUAUAUUACCACCUGUUCUGUCUCUCUUCAACCCAGGUAUAUUACCACCUGUUCUGUCUCUCUAUACUACAAAGCAGAAUUAAUCAGUAAGCCAGCUGUUUUGCCUAAAUAUUAUGAAAUAACUAUUUUUAUUUUUAGAAUGAUAAGCUUGAAAUGGGUCUUAUUGACUCAAAUGACCAGUUUAAACAGUUUAGCAUUCUUAAUUAACCAGCAAAUCAAUAGUUAUUUCUGAUUGUUUAUAAAAGUUAACUGCCAACUCAUUGAUCUUGCCUUGCAGUAUACCCCUCUGUCUCAUCUUCAUUGGGGCACAGGGGUCAGGGCCGGG